UUUGGAUUUUCUAAUUGCGAA
RNAcentral lists this non-coding RNA (21 nucleotides) under Caenorhabditis elegans. The record is from RNAcentral. Lineage: Eukaryota; Metazoa; Nematoda; Chromadorea; Rhabditida; Rhabditidae.